This 253-nucleotide ribosomal RNA is filed under the name uncultured bacterium. RNAcentral's name for it is "partial 16S ribosomal RNA". It matches the Rfam family "Bacterial small subunit ribosomal RNA", at positions 524 to 776 of the family's 1533-position model. The record is from RNAcentral.
UACAGAGGGUGCGAGCGUUAAUCGGAAUUACUGGGCGUAAAGCGCACGUAGGUGGCGACGUAAGUCGGGUGUGAAAGCCCCGGGCUCAACCUGGGAAUUGCAUUCGAGACUGCAUUGCUGGAGUACGGAAGAGGAGGGCGGAAUUCCCGGUGUAGCGGUGGAAUGCGUAGAGAUCGGGAAGAACAUCGGUGGCGAAGGCGGCCUGCUGGGCCGUUGCUGACGCUGAGGCGCGACAGCGUGGGGAGCAAACAGG